This 427-nucleotide ribosomal RNA is filed under the name uncultured bacterium. RNAcentral describes it as "bacterial SSU rRNA". It matches the Rfam family "Bacterial small subunit ribosomal RNA", at positions 355 to 774 of the family's 1533-position model. The record is from RNAcentral.
UGGGGAAUAUUGGACAAUGGGCGCAAGCCUGAUCCAGCCAUGCCGCGUGGGUGAAAAAGGCCUUCGGGUUGUAAAGCCCUUUUGUUGGGGAAGAAAUCGUGCAGGUGAAUAUCCUGCGCGGAUGACGGUACCCAAAGAAUAAGCACCGGCUAACUUCGUGCCAGCAGCCGCGGUAAUACGAAGGGUGCAAGCGUUACUCGGAAUUACUGGGCGUAAAGGGCGCGCAGGCGGGAUAAAAAGUCAGUGGUGAAAUCCUACAGCUUAACUGUAGAACUGCCUUUGAUACUUUUAUUCUUGAGUUCGGGAGAGNGAGACGGAAUUCCAGGUGUAGUGGUGAAAUACGUAGAUAUCUGGAAGAACACCAGUUGCGAAGGCGGUCUUUUGGUCCGACACUGACGCUGAGGCGCGAAAGCGUGGGGAGCAAACA